Molecule: ribosomal RNA, 788 nt
Filed under: uncultured bacterium
Lineage: Bacteria
Description: bacterial SSU rRNA
Rfam family: Bacterial small subunit ribosomal RNA
Source: RNAcentral
CAGUCGAGCGAGCGGAACCACAGAUUUACUUCGGUAAUGACGUUGGGAAAGCGAGCGGCGGAUGGGUGAGUAACACGUGGGGAACCUGCCCCUAUGUCUGGGAUACCAUUUGGAAACAGGUGCUAAUACCGGAUAAUAAAGCAGAUCGCAUGAUCAGCUUUUGAAAGGCGGCGUAAGCUGUCGCUAAGGGAUGGCCCCGCGGUGCAUCAGCUAGUUGGUAAGGUAACGGCUUACCAAGGCGACGAUGCAUAGCCGAGUUGAGAGACUGAUCGGCCACAUUGGGACUGAGACACGGCCCAAACUCCUACGGGAGGCAGCAGUAGGGAAUCUUCCACAAUGGACGCAAGUCUGAUGGAGCAACGCCGCGUGAGUGAAGAAGGUUUUCGGAUCGUAAAGCUCUGUUGUUGGUGAAGAAGGAUAGAGGUAGUAACUGGCCUUUAUUUGACGGUAAUCAACCAGAAAGCCACGGCUAACUACGUGCCAGCAGCCGCGGUAAUACGUAGGUGGCAAGCGUUGUCCGGAUUUAUUGGGCGUAAAGCGAGCGCAGGCGGAAAAAUAAGUCUAAUGUGAAAGCCCUCGGCUUAACCGAGGAACUGCAUCGGAAACUGUUUUUCUUGAGUGCAGAAGAGGAGAGUGGAACUCCAUGUGUAGCGGUGGAAUGCGUAGAUAUAUGGAAGAACACCAGUGGCGAAGGCGGCUCUCUGGUCUGCAACUGACGCUGAGGCUCGAAAGCAUGGGUAGCGAACAGGAUUAGAUACCCUGGUAGUCCAUGCCGUAAACGAUGAGUG